Molecule: ribosomal RNA, 255 nt
Filed under: uncultured bacterium
Lineage: Bacteria
Description: partial 16S ribosomal RNA
Rfam family: Bacterial small subunit ribosomal RNA
Source: RNAcentral
UACGAAGGGGCGUAGCGUUGUCUCGGAAGUACACUGGGCGGUAAAGGGACGGCGUAGGCGGCCUUGUAAGUUGGGGGUUGGAAAGACCCGUCGGCCCAACCACGGAAUUGCCUUCGAUACUGCUUGGCUUGAGUGUGGUAGAGGUUGGUGGAACUGCGAGUGUAGAGGUGAAAUUCGUAGAUAUUCGCAAGAACACCGGUGGCGAAGGCGGCCAACUGGACCAUCACUGACGCUGAGGCGCGAAAGCGUGGGGAG